Molecule: ribosomal RNA, 492 nt
Filed under: uncultured bacterium
Lineage: Bacteria
Description: bacterial SSU rRNA
Rfam family: Bacterial small subunit ribosomal RNA
Source: RNAcentral
ACUCAAAUGAAUUGACGGGGGCCCGCACAAGCAGUGGAUUAUGUGGUUUAAUUCGAAGCAACGCGAAGAACCUUACCAGGUCUUGACAUCCCUUGCAUAUCAUGGAAACAUGAGAAACCCUUCGGGGCAAGGAGACAGGUGGUGCAUGGUUGUCGUCAGCUCGUGUCGUGAGAUGUUGGGUUAAGUCCCGCAACGAGCGCAACCCUUACUAUUAUUUGCUACGGAAGAGCACUCUAAUGGGACUGCCGUUGACAAAACGGAGGAAGGUGGGGACGACGUCAAAUCAUCAUGCCCUUUAUGACCUGGGCUACACACGUAAUACAAUGGCACUCUAACAGAGGGUAGCUACACCGCGAGGUGAUGCCAAACCCAAAAAAGUGCCUCAGUUCGGAUUGCAGGCUGCAACUCGCCUGCAUGAAGUCGGAAUUGCUAGUAAUCGCGGAUCAUCAUGCCGCGGUGAAUACGUUCCCGGGCCUUGUACACACCGCCCGU